CUUCCAGUAGCACCUUAGGGACCAACUAAGUUUGUUAUUGGUAUGAGUUUUUGUGUGCAUGCACACUUCUUCAGAUGGUAUACCAAUAACAAACUUAGUUGGUCCCUAAAGUGCUACUGGAAG
Molecule: non-coding RNA, 123 nt
Organism: Podarcis lilfordi (Lilford's wall lizard)
Lineage: Eukaryota; Metazoa; Chordata; Lepidosauria; Squamata; Lacertidae
Source: the annotation of a GenBank genome assembly